Molecule: ribosomal RNA, 465 nt
Filed under: uncultured bacterium
Lineage: Bacteria
Description: partial 16S ribosomal RNA
Rfam family: Bacterial small subunit ribosomal RNA
Source: RNAcentral
GACGAACGCUGGCGGCGUGCUUAACACAUGCAAGUCGUACGGUAAGGCCCUUUCGGGGGUACACGAGUGGCGAACGGGUGAGUAACACGUGAGUAACCUGCCCACAACUUUGGGAUAACGCUAGGGAACUGGUGCUAAUACUGGAUAUGUGCUCCUGCUGCAUGGUGGGGGUUGGAAAGCUCCGGCGGUUGUGGAUGGACUCGCGGCCUAUCAGCUUGUUGGUGGGGUAGUGGCCUACCAAGGCGGCGACGGGUAGCCGGCCUGAGAGGGUGACCGGCCACAUUGGGACUAAGAUACGGCCCAGACUCCUACGGGAGGCAGCAGUGGGGAAUAUUGCACAAUGGGCGCAAGCCUGAUGCAGCAACGCCGCGUGCGGGAUGACGGCCUUCGGGUUGUAAACCGCUUUCAGCAGGGACGAAGCUUUUUGUGACGGUACCUGCAGAAGAAGCACCGGCUAACUACGUG